This 583-nucleotide ribosomal RNA is filed under the name Levilactobacillus brevis. Its description in RNAcentral is "bacterial SSU rRNA". It matches the Rfam family "Bacterial small subunit ribosomal RNA", at positions 927 to 1508 of the family's 1533-position model. The record is from RNAcentral. Lineage: Bacteria; Bacillati; Bacillota; Bacilli; Lactobacillales; Lactobacillaceae.
AAGCGGUGGAGCAUGUGGUUUAAUUCGAAGCUACGCGAAGAACCUUACCAGGUCUUGACAUCUUCUGUCAAUCUUAGAGAUAAGACGUUCCCUUCGGGGACAGAAUGACAGGUGGUGCAUGGUUGUCGUCAGCUCGUGUCGUGAGAUGUUGGGUUAAGUCCCGCAACGAGCGCAACCCUUAUUAUCAGUUGCCAGCAUUCAGUUGGGCACUCUGGUGAGACUGCCGGUGACAAACCGGAGGAAGGUGGGGAUGACGUCAAAUCAUCAUGCCCCUUAUGACCUGGGCUACACACGUGCUACAAUGGACGGUACAACGAGUUGCGAAGUCGUGAGGCUAAGCUAAUCUCUUAAAGCCGUUCUCAGUUCGGAUUGUAGGCUGCAACUCGCCUACAUGAAGUUGGAAUCGCUAGUAAUCGCGGAUCAGCAUGCCGCGGUGAAUACGUUCCCGGGCCUUGUACACACCGCCCGUCACACCAUGAGAGUUUGUAACACCCAAAGCCGGUGAGAUAACCUUCGGGAGAUCAGCCGUCUAAGGUGGGACAGAUGAUUGAGAGGUGAAGUCGUAACAAGGUAGCCGUAGAGA